Molecule: long non-coding RNA, 735 nt
Organism: Choloepus didactylus (southern two-toed sloth)
Lineage: Eukaryota; Metazoa; Chordata; Mammalia; Pilosa; Megalonychidae
Exons: 3
Source: RefSeq, a predicted model, not a curated record
AAAAACAUACACCAAUUUCAAUAAAUACGGCAUUCAGAGUUGGGCUGCUGUUGCUGGGUUUUAGUAAACGGAGAAAAAAAGCCUAGGAGACUAAAAGAGGAGGAAAGGAGGGCAGAAGAGAAAGGGCAGUGGCUACAAGAGAGGAGCGGAGGAAUCCAACCGCGGCCUCCCCAGAGAAGCGCGUUCUCCCCACCACGCCAGCCCCGAACCUUGAAGAACAACCUAGAGUUAACGAGGGGAGGGGCCGCCCCCAGGGGUCACUGCCGUUUGGGCUCCGGAAUCCGCUUGCCCCGGGCAGGUGUCUGCGGAUGAGGGGGGUGCAGCGGCCUUCGAUGCCCUAACCUGUCGAGCAGCGGAGUGUGGAUGUGCAGGUGCUUCACGGCUACCUGAAUGCGCCAGUCCGAGUGGCGUGCCGACGACACAGUGCCCGAGGCGCCGCGGCUCAGAAACCAACCUUCUAGGAAAUGUUUUUGCAAAUGGCUUCUCAUCAAGGAAUGUGGUCCAUGUUUUCUGGCCCAAGGAAUGAUUCCUGAGAGCAUCGUCUGUUACUGGAGACAAGUGUCCAGGACUGAGACAUAUGGGAUUCCAUUGAAGCAUGUGAAAGGACUACAGGAAGGUUCUUGGCCAUGCCACGAGAACGAAUUCAAGGACACAGCACAGCAUAGAGGAAGCAGGCAGAAAAUUUAUUAAGAAAGUAUAUGAGACAACAUGCCGGCACUUGCAAAGAAGAGAGGG